Molecule: ribosomal RNA, 496 nt
Filed under: uncultured bacterium
Lineage: Bacteria
Description: partial 16S ribosomal RNA
Rfam family: Bacterial small subunit ribosomal RNA
Source: RNAcentral
GACGAACGCUGGCGGCGUGCCUAAUACAUGCAAGUUGAGCGAUGAAGAUUGGUGCUUGCUCCACUGUGGAGAGCAGCGAACGGGUGAGUAACGCGUGGGUAAUCUGCCUUUGAGCGGGGGACAACAUUUGGAAACGAAUGCUAAUACCGCAUAACAACUUUAAACAUAUGUUUUAAGAUUGAAAGAUGCAAUUGCAUCCCUCUAAGGUUAUCCCGCGUUGUAUUAGCUAGUUGGUGAGGUAAAGGCUCACCAAGGCGACGAUACAUAGCCGACCUGAGAGGGUGAUCGGCCACAUUGGGACUGAGACACGGCCCAAACUCCUACGGGAGGCAGCAGUAGGGAAUCUUCGGCAAUGGACGAAAGUCUGACCGAGCAACGCCGCGUGAGUGAAGAAGGUCUUCGGAUCGUAAAACUCUGUUGGUAGAGAAGAACGUAGGUGAAAGUGAAUAGGUCAUCAAGUAACGGUAAUAAUCAAGAAAGGAACGCUAAACUACGU